CGCUUAACUCUCUUAAUCUCUUGACCCUAACCAUCACCCAAAAUAUUUAAGUCAGGUUAAGACUUUUUAGCUCUAUUAUAUCUUAUAUAUAGGAUUAUUUGGGGUCUCACAAUUUUUCCUCUUUUAAGCGCUGACGUCCUUAUCAGGCUUAGACUCACAAGUAUCUAGCAAUGUGGGACUCGUCUUGCUAGCCUUGUCAUUUCAACCCUGACUCAGUCGAGACUUUUCUCACACUUUCGGCUGGUAAUUGGCUCUAAUACCAACUGUGAUACCCCAACUUCCCAGGCGGUCACCCUUUCUAGGACCGCUUUCAUUCUAUCACAUUUAACUCUCUUAACCGCUUGAGCUUAACCACCACAAAAAAUGCUUAAGUCGGGUUAAGAAUUUUUAGCCCUAUUAUAUUUUAUUAUAUAUAUGACUAUCUGGGGUAUCACAGUGUCCCUCGUUCUUUCCGUUCUCAAAAUACUAGUGAAAGUCCUGCGCCAUUUUAUAUUUUUACCCAUCUCAUAUUAUACCUUAUUCUCUCAAUUAAAAUUCUAGCAAUGAAAACUUUUUUUCCUUACUCUCUCUCUUUCUCUGUCUCCUUCGUACUAGUUUCGAACAUGUAACUAGAAAUUUUUCGUCCCCAUUCAUCCAUUACGCGUGUUGCUUCGCCAAUAUCGAAUACGUGUUGCUUUUUCAUUCAAUUUAUUAUAUGAUUUUUUUUUAUUUUGAUUAAAAGAAAAGGUUUAGGAGAAAAGGAGUGAGAGAAAAUGUUGCAAUAAUGUUCGAUUAGGUUGAUUUGAAAAAGGAAGAAGAUGACCAUUGAAAAUUUUUUAGGGGACAUUUCUGCAUGAUUAUAACAGUUGGAAUUUUUGGAGGAACAUGUCACAUACUUGCGACGGCAAAAUUGACAUUUUACUUAUCUGCUGCUAAAAAAUAAAUAAUUUUUUAACAGUAACAAACUAAAGGAACAAAUAUAAAUAUCACCGGACUUUUGUAGGAAUAACAUAAGAAAGUUAAAUUUUGUAGAGAUAUAUUUGUAAUUCGCUAUAUUUAUAGGAAGCUGUAUGCAAUUAACGCUUAAAAAAAAGAUUAUGGGACUUGAUUGAAACAAUUCAAAAAAUUUCGAGGACUAAAGUGUCAUAUGUCUUACAGUUCGACCAAAAAAUUAUAACUAAUUAAAGUUUCAGAAUUAAAGUGUUGUUCGAGCCAGAAAUUGAAACAAAUUAAAAUUUGAGGACCCAAUGAAAUGCAGGAACCAACUUC
RNAcentral lists this long non-coding RNA (1248 nucleotides) under Ananas comosus (pineapple). Its description in RNAcentral is "long non-coding RNA (ACOM_LNC028907)". Lineage: Eukaryota; Viridiplantae; Streptophyta; Magnoliopsida; Poales; Bromeliaceae. The record is from RNAcentral.